This is a transfer RNA of 75 nucleotides. It matches the Rfam family "tRNA". Rfam says of the family: Transfer RNA (tRNA) molecules are approximately 80 nucleotides in length. Their secondary structure includes four short double-helical elements and three loops (D, anti-codon, and T loops).
GCGCUGGUAGUCCAGUCUGGUCUAAGACGUCGCCCUGCCAACCCGCUAACCCGGGUUCAAAUCCCGGCCAGCGCA